RNAcentral lists this ribosomal RNA (446 nucleotides) under uncultured bacterium. Its description in RNAcentral is "bacterial SSU rRNA". It matches the Rfam family "Bacterial small subunit ribosomal RNA", at positions 268 to 703 of the family's 1533-position model. The record is from RNAcentral.
CCAAGGCUACGACGGGUAGCUGGUCUAAGAGGAUGGCCAGCCACACUGGAACUGAGACACGGUCCAGACUCCUACGGGAGGCAGCAGUGGGGAAUCUUGCGCAAUGGGCGAAAGCCUGACGCAGCGACGCCGCGUGGGUGACGAAUGCCUUCGGGUUGUAAAGCCCUGUGGGGUAGAACGAACUGGCAUCGGGCUAAUAUCCCGGUGUCUUGACGGUACUGCCUUAGCAAGCAUCGGCUAACUCUGUGCCAGCAGCCGCGGUAAGACAGAGGAUGCGAACGUUGCUCGGAUUUACUGGGCGUAAAGCGCGUGUAGGCGGUCUCGUUAGUCGGGUGUGAAAGCCCCGGGCUCAACCCGGGAAGUGCACCCGAUACUAGCGAGACUGGGGUACUGAAGAGGAGAGCGGAAUUCCCGGUGUAGAGGUGAAAAUUCGUAGAUAUCGGGAG